Molecule: unclassified non-coding RNA, 1823 nt
Filed under: Leishmania donovani
Lineage: Eukaryota; Euglenozoa; Kinetoplastea; Trypanosomatida; Trypanosomatidae
Description: gene:LdHU3.09.0540(CDS-product:hypothetical_prote in_conserved)
Source: RNAcentral
AUCUACAGCGCCACUCUCUAUCUGGCCUCUCACCUCCCCGCGUGCUGUCAGUUUUCCUGAUACCGCUGUGAUGCCGGCAGCCUACGCCCUGGCAAAGGAGUGUCAGCUGCUCCGCGGUGAUAUCGAGGGCGUGCUCUCGCUCGCUGCCCAGCUCCUCCUCCACACAACCGCAGCUGCAUCAUCAUCUGCCAACGGGCCGCCUACUGCCCCUGCGUCGUCAUCGGCGCCGGCCACAUCUUUUCUCGGCCCCGUCGUGGGCUCCAUUCUCACGGACGCCCACGUCCGCUCACUUCUUCUCAACACCCUCGUGCGCGUCCUUGUGCCGGCGCGGCGGCAGAAGGCACUGCUCGACGACAACAAGUACGUGCAAGCCGCCAACAUGGUGGCACUGCAGCAGCAGAGCACCAACGAUGCAAGACCGGCGAACUCAGUUAACAGGGCUGCGGACGUGUCGCAGCGAUACCGCGUAGGGCGUGUUGUCGGUGUUGUGCCGAAGCCAGGCCCUAUGGCGGCGGAGGCGAGCCAUGGCAAGAGUGCGUCUGCAACUUGCGCUGACCUUGCGGCGGCAGCGGCUGACGAAGGUCAGCGGUGGCUGUUGGCCGUCUACGUUGGCGAGUGUGUCGAGCCCUUUGCCGUGUCGGCCAUCGCGGAGGAUAUCUUCACCGAGGCGGAGCACCGCGUCUUUGUGCAAUCAGCGCUGUCCACGAACAGAGAGGAUGGCAGCCGACGCGCAAGCGUGCUGCCGAGUCAGCAGCCGGCGCUGCUGUCUGCCGAGACGGCCGCCACGGUGCAGCAGAGCAUCAAAGACAUCCGUGUAGCAUUACAGUUGAUGCAGGCGGCGGACAAGACAGUAUCGGUGGCAGGAAUGGAGGCAGCCACAGCGACGCUGAUUCAGCGCGCCAGUGGUCUAAAGCGGCCGCACGCUGCGUCAGACGACGACGGAGACAUCAACAGCCACAAGAGGCGCACGGGGGCGGCAUCGAUCGGAGAGGACAGCGACGGGCUCGGCACGUACUUCGGCAACGGCGCCUCGUCGCAAGCCAUACGCAUGGCCCGUCUCUCAGAGGAUUUGGCGGCACGAGGCGCGCAGCUUCAGCAGCUCCGCCAACUGCUCCAGCAGAAGGAUCAGGAGGUGAAGGCCGCUCUUCAGCAGCAGCAGCAACAGGAGGCGCGGCACCGCAGCGAGAUCGAUGUGUGGCGCGCUAAGGUGGAGGAACAGAGCCGCACUCGCGAGCGUGUUGCGAAGGAGUCGCGGGAGUCGCUAGAGCAGCGAGACCGACUGCUCGAGGAGGCGAACACGAAGCUGCGUCGGCUGGCCGGCAUGGCCACCAAGUACAAGCAGGUUGUAGACGCCGUAGCGGCGCUGCUAAAACGGAACGGCGGCGGCGAAGCGAGUGACGGCACGGUCAUGACACCAGAAGACAUUCUGAUAGCGCUGCAGGGCAAGAAGUGCCUGUAGCCGCUCACGCAAUCAACCUCUCUCCCCUCGCUCCACCCUUCGCGCGCUGAGGUGUGCCUCUCUGCCAACGUGUGUGUCUGUGUCUAGGCUUUCGUGCUGGUGUCGUGUGUGUUUGUGUGUGCGUGUGUGUGUGUGUCUUUGAGCUGGUCAGGAAAGGAGGUGCGUGUGAUGGAGGUGGGAGGACGGUGGCGGAGGCUGGUGCGCUUACCGCUGUCAGUGGCUGGCUUUGCUCUACCCUCCCCCCUCCCCUCCUCUCCCCUCCCUCGUGGUGUUGCGUUGUGCGUGUGGGUCUGUGCAUCGCUAAGCCCCAUCACGGUAAAAGACGUGCAUGCAGUAAUAUGCACACACACACACACGCACUCAU